Molecule: ribosomal RNA, 380 nt
Filed under: uncultured bacterium
Lineage: Bacteria
Description: bacterial SSU rRNA
Rfam family: Bacterial small subunit ribosomal RNA
Source: RNAcentral
AUUAAACGCUGGCGGCAUGCCUUACACAUGCAAGUCGAACGGCAGCACGGGGGCAACCCUGGUGGCGAGUGGCGAACGGGUGAGUAAAGCAUCGGAACGUGCCAUUGAGUGGGGGAUAACGUAGCGAAAGUUGCGCUAAUACCGCAUAUUCUGUGAGCAGGAAAGCAGGGGACCGCAAGGCCUUGCGCUCUUUGAGCGGCCGAUGUCAGAUUAGCUAGUUGGUGAGGUAAAGGCUUACCAAGGCGACGAUCUGUAGCGGGUCUGAGAGGAUGAUCCGCCACACUGGAACUGAGACACGGCCCAGACUCCUACGGGAGGCAGCAGUGGGGAAUUUUGGACAAUGGGCGCAAGCCUGAUCCAGCAAUGCCGCGUGCAGGAAG